RNAcentral lists this ribosomal RNA (492 nucleotides) under uncultured bacterium. RNAcentral's name for it is "partial 16S ribosomal RNA". It matches the Rfam family "Bacterial small subunit ribosomal RNA", at positions 29 to 507 of the family's 1533-position model. The record is from RNAcentral.
AGUGAACGCUGGCGGUAGGCCUAACACAUGCAAGUCGAACGGCAGCACAGUAAGAGCUUGCUCUUACGGGUGGCGAGUGGCGGACGGGUGAGGAAUACAUCGGAAUCUACUUUUUCGUGGGGGAUAACGUAGGGAAACUUACGCUAAUACCGCAUACGACCUACGGGUGAAAGCAGGGGAUCUUCUGACCUUGCGCGAUUGAAUGAGCCGAUGUCGGAUUAGCUAGUUGGCGGGGUAAAGGCCCACCAAGGCGACGAUCCGUAGCUGGUCUGAGAGGAUGAUCAGCCACACUGGAAGUGAGACACGGUCCAGACUCCUACGGGAGGCAGCAGUGGGGAAUAUUGGACAAUGGGCGCAAGCAUGAUCCAGCCAUACCGCGUGGGUGAAGAAGGCCUUCGGGUUGUAAAGCCCUUUUGUUGGGAAAGAAAAGCAGCAGGUUAAUACCCCGCUGUUCUGACGGUACCCAAAGAAUAAGCACCGGCUAACUUCGUG